CUCAUGAUCCUGUACAAAUGUUAUAAUAAUUAUUCAUUAGGUCAAAUAACAACACACAUGGAGUUCUGUAGGCCCACUGUACAUAAACUCUACAUUGCUUGUGAAUACUGCAUUCAUAAUAUUGAUACUACUUGUCUAGCAAUUUGGGACUUUCUGUUUCUUAUGUAGAUUCUACUAAUCAUGUCAAAAUGAUUCUUUGUUUACAUGUAUAGGUUUUACUGUUUCUAACUAUGUACUCUUAAAUUUUGCCCUCUUAUUGCAUGAUCCUGAUGGAAGGUCUCACAAGCCUGCUCAUGGUAAUCUCAGACUCAGGCAUGGAUGAAAUAAUUCUCCGCAACUUCUGAGAAGGCUUCAUUGAAGACAUACUCACCAUAUCUACCCUGUGGUAUUGUAUGCUUCAUACAUGUAUGGCUGAUUUCUACCUGGGAAUCCAUAUCAGUGAUGGGAAGACAGACUGUGGAAACAAACCAUGGCAGCCACAUCCACCAGAAUGAACCUGGAGGACAUUUAUCUAUUAUUUUCUGUGACUAUUGUGGCUGCAGAACUUAGAAGCAAUUGUAUAUUGUAGUGCUUCAGAGAUUAAUUUGAUGUGGAAACAUGACCUAUUCAUCCUGCUCAUGAGGAACUCAGACUCAGAUCUCAGGAGCCUGUUCAUGAUAAUCUCAGUCUCAGGCAUGGAUGAAAUGAUUCUUUCCAACUUCUGAGAAGGCUUCAUUGAAGACAUGCUCACCAUAAAUACAUUGUGGAUAAGGAAGUGCAGACAUCCAUCUCUGACUUCUCCUGGGAAGCUUUUGCUGAAGACAGAGACACCACACCUACCUGCUUGUAUUUUAAUUUGAAGGACAUUAACAGAAAAGAAACACAGAGACCAUAACCAGAUUUGGGGAUGUGAGCCCCUUUUCUCAUUUGGCAAAAGCUACCAGGCUUGAUUAUAUAGGACAGAGAUUAUGAAGUCAGAGACCUCUGUCUAAAGCACCUGAUGGGAAAAGACAAUCUGAUGAAAACAUUGGGCUGAGCAGUAGCAGAAGUGUAGAUGAAAACACCAAAACUGAAGUUUUGUUUGGUAUGCUUCAUACCCAUAUGAAUAAUUUCUACCUGGGAAGCCAUAUCAGUGACUGAAUUGUCAGUAAGCAGCUGCAGAGGAAACAUGGCUGCUUCUGUGGUUACAGAAAAAUGUCUUUCAUGAUAAUUUUUGGCCAUGAGAAAUACUUCAGUUGUAAGUCCUCUGUUUCUCUUCUGAAAGAGAUAGGCCUCCAUUAAGUAUCAACAAAGAUAGGAGUAUCAAAUUGCAGUAAGACUAAGAAACUGUGCUUGUAUUAAUGUUGGACAAGGCUUGGUGAAUCCUGUUGAAGAGAGGGAAGAAGGAUUGUAUAAGUCUGGAGAAUCAAGGUCACCACAAGGUCUCACAAGCAUGCUCAUGAAAAUUUCAGUCUCAAGCAUGGAUGAAAUGUUCUUCCCAACUUCUGAGAAGGCUUCAUUGAAGACAUGCUCACCAUACCUACCCUGUGGUAAGCUUCAUACAUGUAUGGUUGAUUUCUACCUGGGAAGCCAAAUCAGUGACUGAAGUAUCAGUAAGCAGUGCAGAAGAAACAUGGCUCCUUCUGUGUUUACAGAGAAAUGUCUCUAAGGAUGACUUUCAGCUCUGAGAGAUACUUCAGUUGUAAGGAAAGAAAUCAUUUCUGGUAGGGAAAGUCAUUCUGCUGCAGCAUUUGGUUGGGAUUGAUCAGACUGCGGGGAUUAUUUCAUCUAUGCGGUGUAUGAGACUUCAUAAAAGAGUUGUGAACUGUAGAAGAAAUGGAUAUUUUUUGUUAUUUCAGCAUAUGGAAAAGUGUCACAAAUGAUAGGAAUAAUAUAGAAGACUCCCAGGGAUCAGAAAAACUGGAUCCCAUGGAGAGAAUCAUGCAAUAUGCCAUGAAGAGGAUGAUUUGCACAGCCUGGGCCUUCAACAGAAGAAAUAUAUGAUGGAAGGAAAGCUUGUGACCGCAGAGGGUACCAUGAACAGCUGGCUUGCUGCAUUGUUUCUGGAUUGAAGAUGUGUCCCAUGACUGCAGGACAUUAUAAAGCACAGGAGUUCACUACAUGACAACCAGGAAGCAGAGGAGAGUUACCAGAAUGGAUCAGAUCCAAGAUGUACCCUCCACAGUGUCUGUCUCUGCUGCUCAGUGACUCUGCAACUCAAAUAAUAAAGCCAUGGUUGCUCUCUGCAUCCUGAGAAGCACACACUGGAGGAGACCACUUCCCUAAGCAGGCUGUCCUCAACAGAGAGAUGGGAAGGUCAAUUGAAAAACAUGCGUCCUCAGAGGGAUCCUUUCUGGGCAGAUUAACAGUGACUUCCAGGGAAUCAUGCCACUGACUCUGAAGCCAUGGCUUUUACAUUAAGGUCUGCCAUCCCUGCCACAGUCCAUGAAUCCUUUAUCAUCUACAAGGAAGAUGAUUCACUUUGAAAAGCUUUUUCUGAUAGAGACCAGUGUGCUGUAUCAUCUUUGGAGAAAUGCCUAUUUAUUUAGAUAUUUAGAUGUGUUAUUCAGGUUCUCAUAUCAGAAAAUGGCCACAGCAAGCAGUAACUGGCAUCCCAGUAUCACCAUCAUUCAGAUGCUUAAGCUGCCAUACACAUUGAGGUGGGAGAGAGAAAUGAGUCAGCAGCCCGGAUGGAGAUCUCCAAGAGUCUGUAUGUGCUAAACACCAGGAUCUCACACUCUUCAAGAAGGCCACAAUUUUAGGAUCUUAAGGGACCAACAGAUGUAUGUGACCACCUGCUGCAGACGAAGGAAUAGUGCAAAUUAUUGCUUAAUCUUCAGGACAAUUUUGGAUACAGCAUGCAGAUUUUUCCUUCAGAGCAGGCCUUGAAAAUAAAGAGCCCACAUCACCCUCCAUGCUUUAUUUCCCAUCAAGUGCAUGAAGAAAAUUUUCUGACUAUGGGAUAUUGGUAAGUGAACAGAUCUAUGCAUACAUCAGUAUGCCAUUAGGACUCAAUGUAUCUGUAGCUUAAUGAAAGAAAUAUGUUUUACACAAAUAUGUGACCAUUCUAGUCUCAGAUUCUUGGACAUUUUAUCGGUGUGGGAUAUUUCUUCAAUCCAGUAGUGUUAAUCAUAAUUUAAAAGUAGUUGGUUUAUACUGCCAUUAUAGUUAAGCCACUCUGUCAGCAAGAUGUCUGAAGACUGCCCACUAUAUUUUAAUUUAGGAAGUGUAGGUAAAGAUGGUGAGAAUUUUUGUUCAUUCUAUACAUUUGAAGAUAGAGGUUUCUGUCCCUGCCAGGUUCCACAGCAGCAUUGAACCAAAUAAACACAGAAAGACUUAUAUUAAGUAGAAGACAUGUGGCCUCAGGCUCAAGCUUCUUGUUUCCUAGCUCUGCCUUAAUUGUUAACCCAUUUCUAUUAUUCUGUGCAUUACCACAGCCUGUGGCUUACCCAUAAUAUGUCAUGUUAACUCCUUCAGCUGCAUGGUGUCUGUUAGAAACCUCUCUCUGCCUUCCUCUCUCUCCAGGAUCUCCUGAUAUCUUACCCCUGACUAUGCUUCAUGCCUGGCUGCUGGCCAAUCAUUUUUAAUUGUAUAAAAGAAUGUAUAAAAGAAACAUAUGUACCGAAGGACAUCCCCUAUCAAACUUUCAUCAUAUGUAGUUAAUUGGACAGAAUUUUCUGAGUGCCAGAUGUAUUUAUGUUCUAUGGUAAAACAAUUAAGGAGGAUAUUCAAAGAUAAGUUCUUCUAAUUGCAUUGGCUAGUAUAACCAUGUUUGGAUAUAUUCUGAGACUAUAGGAAACCCAAUAGCCAACAAGUAAAUCAAAUAACUCUGGAAACUGAGAGAUAUAUUUCUUAUGCUUCUUCCUAUUAUAAGAAUUACAGUUGUUACAAUAUCUCUCCAGUUAUAUCUCAGUGCAUUUCAAUUUCUUGCACUGAUUCUGUGUUUAUCCAUUUACAUAUACUUGUGUUUGCAUCCCUUUCCUACCUGUGAUAUAAGAGCAUGUUAUGUAUUAUUUUAUACUUCUUUGUGUUUCCAUCGGAAAUACAAUCUGCUCUUCUAAAUGUCAAAAUUUAUAACUUUUAUUAUAAAAUUAUUUUAUCCUGUAUAUACAAAUGCACACUUACUUAACACAUAAUGUGUACUUAAUCUUCUGAUUAUGAAUAACUAUAUUUAAUAUUGACACUUAGAAAGGAAGGUCUAUUGUUGUUUUGUUUUUUGUUUAUUUGUUUCUUUAUUUACAUUAGACAAGAGUUCUUUUUUCCUAGUACUCAUAGUUUGUCAGAAGUUUUUCAACUAAGUGUCUGGAGUCAAGUGAGGUUUCUCUCUGUGUUGGAAUGACAAUAUUUGGUGUGAUUGUAGUAAACUUUUUGUCAUUUUGUUGGUUUUGUUUGAAUUGUUUUUGGGUAUUGAAGUCAUCAAAUUUCUGAGCUUUGAAAUUCCCUACUCCUCUUUCCGGAAACUCUGGUCACAACAGAUAUCGUUUUCCACUGAACCAAAAACAUUUCUGUCCAUUGCAUGCAAUAUUUUCUGUGUCUGAGAAUAGUAGAAAGUUGUGUUAUUGAUCAGUUGUGGUUGGACACAGCAUUGUAAGUCCUUAGCCAUUUGAGCAGUUGUGGAAAUGUGUAACAUGAGGCCACUGGCAGUGAGACCAGGAUUUAUCCCUAGUGCUUGAAGUAGCUUUAUAAAGCUCAUUCUCUGGGAAGGAUACCUUGCUCAGCUGACAUAUAGGAGGGAGGGUGUUGGUGCUGCCACAAAAAGAUGUGCCAGACUUUGUUUUCACCAUUGGAAGGCUUAUUCUCUCUGAGGCAUGGAUGGGGUGGUUUUUGGGAAGGUGUGGAUAGCAGGAGGAGAGGAGAGAUUGGGAACAGGGAUUGGUCUGUAAAAUGAGAAAGAUUGCUUUAAAUUUUAAAAUGUCUUUCAUCAAAUUUUUAGGCAAGAGAAUGUAGUGAAUAUUUUCAAAAUUUCAAUAUUCACAUAUUAGUACUGAACAGAAUAUUUCAAAAUCAUAAUUGGCACUGAGAAUACAAAAUGAAUGUCAAAUAUAUUCAGAUGUGUUAGUAACAAACCACACAUAAAACCAUACAAAAAUUGUGAAAUUUUUCAUAAUAUACACAUAGUAGGAAUUUCUUUCCUAAAUACAAUACUUCAGAUCAGUGCAUAAAUAUCUUCACAAAGUUAGAUAUGGCAUACAAACUAGAGGUAUUCAGAAGAGGACUUGAAGCUAACAAUUCCAUGAACUAUUAAAGGUCCUUCUUGUACAUAUAGGAGAAAACUAAAUUUCAACCAUAUAUGUCACAGUAGAGUUUUUUUCCUAUUAACAGCUGGGGUCAGACACAGCGUAUAUUACAUUUAUUCUUAUCAUCCACUUUCAGUUUUACCGCGUUUGCUACAACACACUUUUGAGUGGGAGAGAAGAAGAAUCAGCACCUCAGAUGUAGAAAUUAAGUAUUAAUAUAGGAUUUGCCUUCAGUGCUGGAAUUAAGAUAACUCUCCUAUUCCUUGCCUGAUUUGAAUGCACACAGUCCAUCAGAGGCCAGGAGUGCUAAUAAAAGCAUCAGUAGCACAGCUUCUUACAUGUCAGUCUCAGGCUGUUCUCUAGGACUCACUUGAUCCUGGAUAUGACCCAAGCCUGAUUGUACUGACUCAGACAAUGCAGACAGCUCCUGACAUCUAACAGAGGCAGAACCUGUGGGAUUCAGAAAAGGCAGGGAUUGUUUGCUUCUCGGCCCAGAAGGGCUUAACAAGAAAAUUUGCACUUACGAUGUAAUCACUGCUUUUCCGGCACUAAUGUACAUAUAUUAGACAGUGCUAAAAUUGAAGAGUGAAUCUGACAGGACAUAUCAGAAAACGCAAGCAACAAUCAGCCCUUAGCACCCACGAUUCACAUCAUGAAUGUCCAGGCAUUAUCCUGGGCUUUCAUAAAUUUAGUCCGGAUGUAGCCCCAAGCAACCUAAUAUAUAAUUGCCCUCCUAUCUGCCAGCAGUUUCUAUUUUUUAUUUGGAUAACUGGAGUUUUGUCCAGUAGAAAUUAUGUCUUCUCGUGUUGUCUGCUUUCAGUUUCCCUGCUUCUAGGUCAGCACUCGUUUAGGUGGGAGGGAGAAAUGAAUCAGCAGUUCUGAUGGAGAUUUCCAAGAGAACAUCAGGAUUUGUCCCCAGUGCUGGCAUUGAGAUCUCUCUUCUUAUUGGCUCCUUUCCCAAUUGAAAUGCACACAGCCCUUCAAUCAGAAGCAAGGGGCCCUAAUAAAAGUGUCCACAGGGAAGCUUCUUACCAGUAGGGCUCGGGCUCUACUCCAGGACUCAGGAGUUCCUGGGUAUAACCCGAGCCCUACUGGACACUGAACCAGACAAGGCAGACUGCUGACAUCUACAGGAGUCAGAGCCCAUGAGAAUCAGCAAAGACAAGCAUUGAUUGAUACACGGCACAGGGGGCUUUCAGUGAAUAUUUCCACUUAUAAGCAUUUCAUUACAGGCAAUCAUAAUAUAUUUUGGAGAAAAGCUAACAUGAAUUAUUGGGGAAUCUGACAGGGUAUAUUAGACAAUGUAAGCAACAAUCGGGUCUUGGCAGCUCUGAUUCACAAUCAUGCAGCCCCAGGUAGAUUCAGGGGAUUUCAUACUGAUAGCCAGGAUGUAGCCCCAAACAGUCUGAUAUAUGACCAACCCCUAAUUGUCACCAGUUCCUGUGUUUUCUUUUUUAUUAUUGGAGUUUUGUGCAGUUAAAAUUAUAUUUUUCAUGUACACGUUCAAUUUGGCUGCUUCUCUGGCAGCACACGUUUUAGUGGGCAGGAGAAAUGAAUCAGCAGUUCUGAUGGAGAUGUCUAAGAGAACAUCAGGAUUUGCUCCCAGUGUUGGCAUUGAGAUCUCUCUUCUACACGCACAAUUUAAAUGCACACAGGCCUUCAUUCAGAGGCAUGACAUGCUAAUAAAUGUGUCUGCAGUGAGGCUACUUAUCAGUUGGGUUCAGGCUCUACUCCAGGACUCAUUUGAUCAGUGGUAUAACCCGAGCUGACUAUACACUGACUCAGACAUGGCAGACAACUCCGGCCAUUUACGGGAGUCAGGGCCCAUGGGAAUGAGCAUAAGUAGGGAUUAUACUUCUCAGUCAUCUGUUCCUGUCUCCUAUGCAGGAAGUAGAAUCAUGCUCUGGAAGCUAUUGUUUCUUUUUUAAAAUCUGACAUCCCUGUCUAAGUCUUGAAGUGUUGUAUCAUGUGCAAGGUAGAUAGUUCACUUCUGGCUAUAAUUCAUAUCAAUUUUGUAAAUUUGAUCAUUGAGGCUUUAUGAAGACAAGAACCAUCACAAAGCAGUACCUCAAGCCUGCAUCAUAAAAGAUCCCACAUCAACCUGUUUGUUUUAUUUCCAAUCUAAUGCAUGAAGAAACACUUCUGACUAUGGAAAAUGGAUACAUGAACAGAUCAAUGGAUAAAUCAUUUCAUCAUCAGGACUCAGUUUAUGAAUAACUGAAUGAAAGGAUUAGGUUUUGCACAAGUCUGUGACCAUUCUAGUCUUGGGUUCUUGGGCAUUUUAACAGUAUGGGAUAGUUCUUCAAUUCAAUGAUGUUAAUCAUAUUUCGUAAAAGUAGCUUAUAUUCUCAUGAUCUUUUAGCCACUAUGUCAGCAUUGAAGAGUAUCAAGUAUAUUUGGCUUUUGGGCGUGUAGAAUAAGAGAGUGAGAUGUUUGUUCCUCCAGAACUUUUGAAGUUAAUGUUUUGUGUCCUGCCAGAUUCCAUAGCUUCUCUGACCCAAAGAAACACACAAAGACUUAUAUUAUGUAUAAAAUGUUUGACCAAUGGCUCAGAUGGCUUGGUUUGCCUUAAUUGUUAUCAAAUUUCUUUUCAUCUCUGCAUUGCCACAAGGCUGUGGCUUACACUUAAUCUGGUAUGUUACUCCUUUGGCAACAUGGUGUUUGUUAUGGGCAAACUCUCUGUAUUUCUCUCUCACCAGCCUUCUUCUGGACUGGUGUCCCUGCCUAUGCUUCCUUCCUGGCUGCUGGACAUUCAGUGUGUUUUUUUUUCCUCCACCAAUAUAAAGAAACACAUAUGCACAAGGGCACCCCCUUUCAAACUUCUAUCCUAUGUACUUAGUUGGAGAGAAGUUUCUCAAUAAAGCAGGAUCUUCAAAUACAUUUCCCCAUAUUUAUGUUGCCAGGUAUAACCAUGAUUUUAAUAUUGUCGAUGAGCCUCUAAAGGGAGACUAUAGGAAAACAUGUAGUCCACAAGUAAAUCAAAUAUCUCUGUCAACUGAGAGUGAUACUCCUUAUGUAUCUUCAUGUUAUAAGAAGUCUCUAAGAAUGUAAUAGUGUAGGAAAUGGUAAAACAGGACCUUAUUUUCAAAAAGCAGUAAAAGGGAACAGGGCAUUUCAAGAUUCAGAGAUUUGAAACAAUUAAACAAAGCACUAAGAGCAAUAUAAGAACUAUAUCAGAUAUAUAUAUAUAUAUAUAUAUAUAUAUAUAUAUAUAUAUAUGAAACAUUUAGGCCUCAUAGCAUGAUGAAUUGUUAGGAAUAAAAGAGUAAGUUUAGGCUGAGAUGAUAUAGAUCUCAUAUCUAUAUUGACAUAUCUAUAAGUGACAGUGAUAGGAAAUUAAAGAGUUGAGUGGGAGUGGAAUGUGUUGUUAACACUGGUGUGAAAACAUUACUCAGAGUUCUCUAGUCCAUAAUAGCUUUGUAAAACGAAAUCACAUAAUAAAGUAUUUUAAAAUGGCUCACAAUAUACUCAGUUAGUCUUCUAACAACUUGUGCUUUAAAGACUCUGCUGUGAAAUGCUAAUUUUGCAUGAUGCUGUCUAUAUUGAAACCUUACUUUCCCAGCAUAGAAUUGCAAGCCACUCUCUGAUAUCUGAAUGAGGUUAGUAUUUGAAUUUAACCUGACCCUCAGUCUCAAUAACUGAAAGAUUUACAUAGAUGCUAAAUACCUAAAAAUCAUCAUAGUGAGAAAUUCCUAUUUUCUGCAAUUCCAUCAAAAGCAAUACAAAUCUAGUAAGAAACAGUAUUGUCAGAGAGAAGCAAUUGAAAAAAAAAGUUCUUAGCAUGUCCCAUAGUCUUUUACUUGUAAAAGAAAUUUAAAUAAAAAAAUUGAAAAGAGAAGGUUUGGUAAUCUAUCCAGGGUUAUUUUUAUGCAUUCCCAAUGGUUAAGUUUUAUUUGGAAGUUUAAUAUGUUUGUUCAUGUACUGUAAGGGAGAAAUUCAUAUACUAGCACACUUUCAUUUGUCAUUUCCUUGUCAUAUCAUAAUUCUUCCAUUAUUGGUUGAGUUGCAUUGUUUUAAUAUUUUACAUAACU
RNAcentral lists this long non-coding RNA (9226 nucleotides) under Cricetulus griseus (Chinese hamster). RNAcentral's name for it is "lncRNA (ENSCGRG00015034485.1)". The record is from RNAcentral. Lineage: Eukaryota; Metazoa; Chordata; Mammalia; Rodentia; Cricetidae.